Molecule: transfer RNA, 74 nt
Filed under: Phycisphaerales bacterium
Lineage: Bacteria; Pseudomonadati; Planctomycetota; Phycisphaerae; Phycisphaerales
Description: tRNA-Arg
Rfam family: tRNA
About the family: Transfer RNA (tRNA) molecules are approximately 80 nucleotides in length.
Source: RNAcentral
GUGGGCGUAGCUCAAUUGGAUAGAGCAGCUGACUUCGGAUCAGCAGGUUGGGGGUUCGAGCCCCUCCGCCCAUA